This is an RNA transcript of Chiroxiphia lanceolata (lance-tailed manakin), 3934 nucleotides long. It is a transcript of the gene named fibroblast growth factor binding protein 2, with no coding region annotated. The transcript is spliced from 2 exons. Lineage: Eukaryota; Metazoa; Chordata; Aves; Passeriformes; Pipridae. The record is from RefSeq and is a predicted model, not a curated record.
AAUUUCUGCUGUAUUUGACUUUUAUUUUUGGAGCAGGAUGGACUGAAAGAACAUUGACACUGGGUGAGGGAGCUUCCAACUUCCACAAAGGAUCUGAAUUAUGCAGAGAUGGUAGGAUUCAAGCUAAUGAGUUGUGGAGUAUAUCCAUAUAACCUGUUUCUGUAGCCCUGACAGGAGAAUUAAACAUUUGCUAGUUCUUCAGCUCCCAUAGUUCACUGCUGGCAUUCUAGCUUACCUUGUAAAAUGGCAGUUGUGUUCUACUGAUACAAGAGACCAUGAGCUCUUUCAUCUGAAGCACAGGCAGACAGAGGACACAAAGUCAGAUGGGAGUGAGACAAACACUUGGCAGUAACCUAGUAGCUGUAAUAUGUAAAUAUACUGGAAUUCAAGCUUUGGUAUUUAUCCUUAUCCUUGUAAUUUAUUUGUUUUCAUGAUUAAACUUGAAAACUUUGAGAAGAAGAGAUCUGAAAGUGGUAUAAAGUAACUUUUAAGUUGUUUUAAACUCUUUAGCAGUUAUUAGAAUGAGACAGAUGUCUUUAGUUUCUUAUCUAAGAACUGUCAAUUCUGUUGUGUAUAACAAAGUGCAAACAAUACAGUUGUUUGUCAAAUAUUAUGAGGCAUUUGAGUGCUUGCAAUAGGGAUUUGAAAUCCUUGAAAUUAAGUUUGAGGUGGGCAAAGGGAUUCUUCUCUCUGGCUGGCUGAAGGGUAAGAAGACUCCCUAGAAAAUAACUAAGAGUGAAUUUUAAGUCUUAAGUAGGUUUGUACCAUUGUUGUCCCUAGAUUUGGCUGGAGAGUCACACCCUACCUUGAAAGAGACAGACAGGAGAAACUAAUGGGAAGAAUAGAGAUGAGGCCUCUACUAAAAAUGUUACUAAAAUAGCCUUAGAGAGGGGAUGAAAAGAAAACAAGGUUGUUCUCUCUGUUAAAUGGUAUUUAGUCCUGUGGAACUUGAUGACACAUUGGAAGAACAAGGUUCAUGAUACCCAGAAUGGAUGUUCCAGAUGGCUCCACCUUCAAGUGGGCAACUUCCAGAUUAGCUGGGGACUCCCCACAGCAGCUGGGACUCUUGUCAACUGCCCCAAGAAACUUCUGUUGUUGUUGUUCUGCUUUGCACAAUGCGUUAAAUGAAUGUUUUUGCCAUACUAUUUUCUUUAAUGCUGCCCGGUGAGCAACUAGAUACAGAAAAUGGUGUUCUGUUCUGUUAUGUAUGGCCAGUCUUAACUCCAGGGUUUCUAGCACCUCACAGUUGCAUACCUAAUACCCCUUUCCAACAGCUGGUCAGGUAAAGCUGAGUGUAGCAUAUAUGUCUUAGGAAGAAGUGCCUGGUGGGGGUCUUAUUAGCCAGAAAAGUACUGUCUUACCACAGCAAGGGAGGGGCUUUUCCUUACAACCUUCUGAAUGCCAAGGGAGUUACAGUGAUUUUUCCUUAACUCUGCUUUUAGUUACUGCAGCAGAAACUGCACUAAAAUAUUUCUGUUCUCUUGCCUUUAUUUUAUGUCAUUUUUACAGCUCACUUUUUAUGAACAGGAAAAUACCUGUUUUUAAAAAAAAAUACUAAAAAGUGAUGAAACACAAAUAUCUGUCUGAUAUGCUUUGUGGUCUGUUUCCUGCUGCUGUGACCCAUGAUAAAUUAGUUCUGAUGUCUUGCUCUGUUGGCUGAAAGUAACUCAUGGUGUGACAGUGAUGAUAAAACUUCCAAAUGUUUAGUGUAUGUUUAGGCCUGUAAUACCUUAUUUUGCUCAAGCUUUAUUCCUUAUCUUGCUUAAGUAUUGCAAGUGUAAAAAUCUUUCAUGGCUCAAAGAAUGUAUGGUUUAUCUUUCAUGCAUCCUCACUGCAUGUCAUGUGCUGACAAAAUGAAGUGCUAAAGGUGCAUCCUGACUGUGCAAAUCCAAAGAAAACCUGUUGUACAAAUCAGCCUUUUUUACUAGGACACAUUUAUAAUCAUCCAGAUGUAGCUGCAGAGAUUGUUUUGGCACUUUUAUCUUUUUUUUCUUUGAUAUGGUCUUACAAGCUCUGGCAUGAAGAUAGCUAUAAAGCAGCUGGAGAAUGGCAGAUAUCUGUUAAAAAUCAAAUAUGACAUGUUCAUCUGAAUAGGGAUGUGCUUCUUAGUUAUACAACUAUCGUUCUGUAUUUAACUGCAUUUACAAGACAUGUCUUGUUACCUACUUGGGAGUUCACACUCCCAAGGUUAUUCGACACUCCCUCAGGCUAUAAAUUAUGGGCAUGUGCCUACUGAAGUGUGAUUUAUUAUUUUUAUAAAAAAGCCCAACCCUUACAUACCAUGUUUUGCUGGAAAGAGGCUUCUUUGUGCACCAAGCCUUUAAAUUGUGAGCAACCAUUUUACUUACUGAUUUCACUUUUUUGGAUCGUGUUGCUCAGGGAUCUCGGUCAACUCCUCAGACCAUGAAGGGUUUUACUCUUCUUUUCCUAGUUGUUAUCUGUGGCAUGGGAGGACUGGGACAGAAGCUGAAGCCAAAGAAAAGAAGCAAUGGUGAAGAAAUCAAAUUUCGAACUAAAACCAAAGACAUUUGCACAAUGAGCAUUAGUGGGGACGAUGAGGAGAUGAAACUUAGAAUUGAAUGCAAAAGCCAAGACAUGUCCUACUGGUGUGAAUUCACUGGCAAACCAUCAGUCUGUCGUGCUUUCAGAAAUAAUCCAAAGAUUUACUGGAAUCAGAUCGCCGCGGAACUUAGAAAGAUCCCUCAUGCUUGUGAAUCCACGGAAGUGUUGAAGACCUCCAUGUGCCAAAAGGCUCCUCCAGAGGCUCUCAUGAAGCAAAUAGCUACUGGUGUGGAGCCAGAAGAGCUAGCAAACCAGGAAGAAUCAGUGCAGAAAAUGUCCACUUCUAUGAGAGGAGCAGUGCAAGGGUCUGAAAAUGAAACAGAAGCAAUGAAACUGGCACGGGAACAUUGCUGGGAAUCCCUGCAUGGUUUCUGCUCCUACAUUAUUGGCAUCUUUAGGGGUUAAGGACUCACUUCAGGUAAAAUUAGCAUCUGGAAGCACAGUAGAAUAUACCCAACAGUAAUUCUAUUGUACUUUUGUUUUAAAUUUACUUUGAGGAUCUCUCAGGGAUGUGGACAGGGAGGUUCUAGUCUCACUUGCUAAAAUCUGACAUUGCAAAUCCUGUUUUGUGGCUUCUGAGAGGCUGGGCUAAACUUCCAGUGAUGCCUAUUAGUUCAGGAUUCCCUUACAGCCUCACAUGAGGUCUUUAGUACGUACUCAGAUGUUUGCCCUAUCUACUGUUGUUAAUCUUACAGUAUUUCCAUUCUAACUGUUUGAAUUGGGCUAAUUAUUCUCCUUCUGUCACUCCUUCCCUCUUGUGCUGCCUUCUGGAUUUAUGCCAGGGAAGUAAGAUAAAUAACAAAUGCAUCAGAUCCAAAACCAAAUGCACCAGCUAGAACAAAUUAAAACUACAUUCAGAAACUGAGAGGAUUAAGUUUAUUCAUCAAAACUGCUAGUUAAUAAUCAACUAUUUUAAUUUCAACAAUUAGUUCAGAAACAACUUGCAGAAACGAGUAAAACCAAAUGGACUGUCUUGGUUUGUGGGUCUGUUACUGUAGGGUUGACAAGAGACCACAUGCAGGUGCUUGCCUGAGCAAAAUUAUUACAGCUGAAGAAAAGUGCUUGCUGUAGUUUAAUAAUUUAGACCAUAAGAAUUUUGGUUUAAAAACGAGUUAUCUCCAUAAAUCUUGUAGCUGUUCUCUUUUUUUUGCCCCUAAAAUUAAACUUUUUAACAGCCCUGAAAAGUGCAUGAAACUGGAAUGACUGUGUUUAAAGUGUUAGGAUGAACUAACUGUCACUAGACUUGUUACACACCCAGGUGUGCAUUUAAAUAACAGAGGUUCUGCUCUAGGAAUGCUGACCUUGCAUAGGUUUUUGUGUGUGCUGAUUUGCUUUAGUUUGUUAGAGAUUAAAACUGUUAAUGAUGAUACAG